Ruditapes philippinarum (Manila clam) is the source of this 2304-nucleotide long non-coding RNA. RefSeq lists it as uncharacterized. The record is from RefSeq and is a predicted model, not a curated record. NCBI's taxonomy places the organism in Eukaryota, Metazoa, Mollusca, Bivalvia, Venerida, Veneridae. The transcript is spliced from 3 exons.
GAAUCUAAAUUUUGAUGCUAUAUUACUUCUAAUAAUUCAUUGCAGCUUAAUAGGCUUUACAGUUGUACUAUUUGUUUUUCUAUACUGUUUAGUCCUAAAGUUUAGACAGCCUCAAUUGAUCAUAGUACAUGUACAGAAAUCAACUCGUACCCAAACCAUUUCGUUUUAUCAUGCCUGUUGAAAGGACUGAUUAAAAAUUCUUUAAAUAAGAAAAAAAUAUUAAAUCUAAUAAAAUUGAAAUAAAAAACAACAAGAAUUGUGAAUGUUACCGCAGGGAAUAGGUAAAUUUUUAUUUGUCACUUAUUUUCGCGAUGCCGCUUUUUAUUAAAUAAAAAUUGGAAGCUGUGUUUUGUUAAAAUGUGUGUAUAAAACACUAAAAAUGCGUUGAUGAAUGAAAACUACUGAAGGUAUUGUUUACACAACUUGAACGAAGAUAUCUGCCAGUAUGUGUAAGUUAGUUCUACAUAAAAUAGAUCUAUAUAUAUAAGGAAUAUUUUCUAUAAGGGGUUUAUUUUAUUAGUUCUACAUAAAAAUGAUAUAAGCUAGGAAUAUUUCUAAGGGGUAUAUGUAGUAGAGUGAAUAAGGAAGAAAAAACCCAGCUUAAUGGUCUGUUGAUGUAGGGUUUAAGAAAUUAUAUUUCAAAUCUUUCUUGUACAGUACACGGGUUUCCAAUUUUGGUACAUGAAUUACCAUUUUCCUUAAGCCUGUUCAAUAUUCAAACUCUGACACCCCCUCCCCUUUCCCACUCUACUCUGCUUAUUCAUCAUAUAUUAAACUGCAUAAAUGCAGCAAAGACCGGGAAGGUACGGGAAUUAGUCUGUCCGGAAAAGGGGAGGUAAAUAAAAAAAAUGUAAACAGAAGUCUAUUUUUACAGAAUCGGUGUGUAUAGGUUGUAUAAGAUAUAUAGCUACUGUGCAGGAGUAACUGUGAAUUUAAGUGCAGCUGUACAAAGGUUGAGUGAUAUUCGAUGGAGGAUUAUUGUUACACUCUUUUUACUACACAGAGGUUUGCCUACAUAUGCGGUGAAGAUUAACAACAACAACAAUGGCGGUCUGAGGCUGAGCACAGAAUAAUUUUUCUGCCUCUUGAAAGUUGAUGAGUUUUCGAUUUACAAGUGUUUGGAAGGCCAUUAAGUUUGACUAAAUCAGAUUUAACAUUUACUUUCUGGUUACUAUGCUGGUUAUGUUUGGAAGAUAAGAAAGUCACAAAUCAACCUCAAGAUUACUAAAUUGGCCUGUGUUCAAAGCACAUGAAAACAGGCCUGGUGGUUUCUUUGGGCAAGAAAUUUAUUGCUUACAACCAAGCUAAAAGCCAAAGAUAUUGGAGAAUAUGAUGAUAUAAAUGAUGACAUAAAUAAUGACAUAAAUAGUAGCAACAUUGCUGAUACCAAUGAAGUGUCUACCAACAAACUUGAUGAGGUUAAAACCCAUGAAGUUAUCAAUGAAUAUGACGAUAUUGGAGAAUAUGAUGAUAUAAAUGAUGACAUAAAUAAUGCCAUAAAUAGUAGCAACAUAGCUGAUACCAAUGAAGUGUCUACCAACAAACUUGAUGAGGUUAAAACCCAUGAAGCUAUCAAUGAAUAUGAUGGUAUUUGUCUUAUUAGCAUAUAUUCUGUUUUCUUACAGGGCCCAAUAUUUAAACUAGUCGAAAACUACUAGACUUUUAGUUUCACAAUUAAUAUAAAUGCAAGAGUUUAUUUAACAGCUGAAUAUUUAUAAUAAUAGUUAUUGUAUUAUGUAUUAUGAUUGUGCUCACAGUACUUAGGCCAUAGAAAAAAAAUAUGUCUGAUUCUCAUCCCCGUCCGCCCCACUCAGUUAGAUUCCUCUCUGAUAGAUACAUUUUCCCUUCAGCGAACAUGAUGCAUAAACAAAACCAAUCAUUUUUUUUUUAUUUUCAAUGUAUAUAAAGUCCAUCUUAUUUCAAUAAUAAAAGAAAAAUAAAAGUGCCCUGACCCGCAGGGAUCUUAUCUAAAAUUCCAUUGAGAAUCUAAAUGUUUAUCUUCUUUGGCUACAUCAUACUGUGGUCUGACAUUGCACAAGAUAUGUGAAAAUUGUUCUUACACAAAAAAUAAUUAUUCCAAUGUAUUUAAAGAGUUCUCACUUGCUUGUGAUUUAUUACACACUGCUCUCAGUUGCAGGUGAUUUAGUACGUACUGUCCUCAAUUGGUUUUCAAGUGGAACAUUUUUUUUUAAUAACAAAAAAUAUUUUUAACACCUGCAUCAUACAUGUAUUAGCAUACUGUUAAUUCACAGCGAUUAGGCAGAAAAUACUGUUUUCUUUAUAGACUUUGUGUUUUGGUCAUCA